RNAcentral lists this transfer RNA (70 nucleotides) under Coptosoma parvipictum. Its description in RNAcentral is "tRNA-Glu". It matches the Rfam family "tRNA". Rfam says of the family: Transfer RNA (tRNA) molecules are approximately 80 nucleotides in length. Their secondary structure includes four short double-helical elements and three loops (D, anti-codon, and T loops). Lineage: Eukaryota; Metazoa; Arthropoda; Insecta; Hemiptera; Plataspidae. The record is from RNAcentral.
AUUUAUAUAGUUUAACCUUUUAAAACACUUCAUUUUCAAUGAAGAAAUAGGGUUCAUACCCUUAUAAAUA